AGUUCGACUCGUGCACGAGACGACGCUGGCGGCGUGCCUAAUACAUGCAAGUCGAGCGCGGGAAGCGGACGGAUCCCUUCGGGGUGAUGUCCGUGGAACGAGCGGCGGACGGGUGAGUAACACGUGGGCAACCUGCCCGUAAGACCGGGAUAACUCCGGGAAACCGGGGCUAAUACCGGGAUAGGCUUUUGCCCCGCAUGGGGCAAAGGGAAAGAUGGUUUCGGCCAUCGCUUACGGAUGGGCCCGCGGCGCAUUAGCUAGUUGGUGAGGUAACGGCUCACCAAGGCGACGAUGCGUAGCCGACCUGAGAGGGUGAUCGGCCACACUGGGACUGAGACACGGCCCAGACUCCUACGGGAGGCAGCAGUAGGGAAUCUUCCGCAAUGGACGCAAGUCUGACGGAGCGACGCCGCGUGAGCGAGGAAGGCCUUCGGGUCGUAAAGCUCUGUUGUCGGAGACGAACAAACGCCAUAGGAAAUGAUGGCGUCCUGACGGUAUCCGACGAGAAAGCCCCGGCUAACUACGUG
RNAcentral lists this ribosomal RNA (527 nucleotides) under uncultured Tuberibacillus sp. RNAcentral's name for it is "bacterial SSU rRNA". It matches the Rfam family "Bacterial small subunit ribosomal RNA", at positions 33 to 507 of the family's 1533-position model. The record is from RNAcentral. Lineage: Bacteria; Bacillati; Bacillota; Bacilli; Caryophanales; Sporolactobacillaceae.